This 608-nucleotide long non-coding RNA is filed under the name Capsella grandiflora. RNAcentral's name for it is "long non-coding RNA (CGRA_LNC000546)". The record is from RNAcentral. Lineage: Eukaryota; Viridiplantae; Streptophyta; Magnoliopsida; Brassicales; Brassicaceae.
GGUUUUCUGGGUCGUUGAUCCUCCUCCAAAGAAUUAUCAAAUUCUUCUUCAAUUUGGUUAUCAAAUUCUUCUUGAAAAAGAUUAUCAAAUUCUUCAUUCAAUACUUGUGAAAAUUCAUCAUGAGAAGAUGAAGCCAUUUUGUAUAUAAAUUAAAAAAUGAAAAGAACAAUUUUGUGGAGAUUGAGGUUUUUCUUGGUUUGGUUUGAGGUUUCGUUUGGUAGUAAAUUAUGAAUGUAAAAAAUAUUGUUGACGAUUGUGAACGAGAGUUGUGUUGAGGUUAUAGAAAAUAAGGAUUUUGUGUUGAUUGUGAAUGAAAGUGGUUUGGUAGUGGUUUGGUUUGAGGUUUGGUUUUGUGAACGAUUAUGAAGGAGACUGGGUUGGUAGUUUUGUGGUUUGAGGUUUGGUUUUGUGAACGAUUGUGAAGGAGAGUGGGUUGGUAGUGGUUUGGUUUUGUGAAGGAGACUUGUGUAAAGGUUGUGAACGAGUUGUAAAAACUAAAAAUGACACAAAAGAAAGUGAAUAUAAUUUUUGUGAAAUACAAAGUGAAUGAAAUUGUUUUGAGAAGUGAAAACAAUUGUUGUCAAAGAGAAAGCGAAUGCAAUACAAAG